UUCGUGCAGAGUCCAGUGAAGAAGGCAGAGGGAAAGAAUCUGCUGCAGAGCAUGGACACAGCAAGGGUACCUGCUGCUGCCCAGUAACCUCCACAGGGAGUUUCCAAAAUGAGCUCUGGAUGUAUUCACUACAGCUCUCCCACCUAUGAAAAUCACCAACAGCAUGCAUGGACCUGCUAGAAGUGUGGCUAGGUCACCUGGUGAGAGCAAGCAUUUCUUGGCUAGAGGCUCGUGGCUAGAGUUUCAUUACACACAAAGGCCAAUGACUGUGUAACAUCUUUGGAAAAUAUUGUCGAGGACAAUCCAUCAUGGAACAGACUUUUGGAUUAUUUGUUUUGGCUGUCAUCUUUCUACUACUACUAUGAACACAAAGAAUACUUCACUUAGUCCCAGCUAGAAAUGAAUACAAAUUUUAAAAAUCACUAACUUAUUAUACAAUGUGUUACAAAUUACAGUCUGAGACAUAUUCCAUGCCCCAAACUGUUUUUGACAGGGUCACAGUGGAGCACACAUUUUAGUCUGGAAACUCAAGUAGAACCUGAAUGGCCUUUUCUUGCUUAAAUCAAUCUCACUUCUGGAGCCCUCGUCUUACUGAAUUCCACUGCAUGAGAUUUACAUGGCAGGCAGAAAAGCUGUCAAAUUAAUUCAAGGCUGGAGAGCUACAGAAAAUUGACAUGCAUGUGUCCUUGGUCAGAAAAUUCAGCAACAAUAAGACAUCACAAGGACUCUAGAGCUUCAAUCAAGUAAACAGCAUUACAUUUUAAUGGGCUUAUUAAGACUGUGCUUGAGGAAAGAGGGAGAUAACCUACAGGUGAAUUAUAAAUAUACAGGAAAAUUAGUAUGGCAUUAUACAUGUAAAGAGCUAGUCAAGUGUUUAGUCUUUUAAAAUGCAUUUCAAUGGAAGGAUGAUAUGCAGAUGAAUAAAAUUCAAGCUAACCUGUUUCCUGAAGGCUAUUUCCUAUAAGAGAAUCAUCAAAUGAACCUGAGGACAAGUAAAGACAGACUUUUGAGAACUGAAGCAUGAAAACAUUGAAUGGAAGCAU
This is a non-coding RNA of Zonotrichia albicollis (white-throated sparrow), 1043 nucleotides long. NCBI's taxonomy places the organism in Eukaryota, Metazoa, Chordata, Aves, Passeriformes, Passerellidae. The record is from RefSeq and is a predicted model, not a curated record.